This 523-nucleotide ribosomal RNA is filed under the name uncultured Glomus. RNAcentral's name for it is "SSU rRNA". It matches the Rfam family "Eukaryotic small subunit ribosomal RNA", at positions 557 to 1081 of the family's 1831-position model. Lineage: Eukaryota; Fungi; Glomeromycota; Glomeromycetes; Glomerales; Glomeraceae. The record is from RNAcentral.
AAGUCUGGUGCCAGCAGCCGCGGUAAUUCCAGCUCCAAUAGCGUAUAUUAAAGUUGUUGCAGUUAAAAAGCUCGUAGUUGAAUUUCGGGGUUAGUAGGUUGGUCAUGCCUCCGGUAUGUACUGAUCUUACUGAUUCCUCCUUCCUGAUGAACCGUAAUGCCAUUAAUUUGGUGUUGCGGGGAAACUGGACUGUUGCUUUGAAAAAAUUAGAGUGUUUAAAGCAAGCUAACGCUUGAAUACAUUAGCAUGGAAUAAUGAAAUAGGACGUUCGAUCCUAUUUUGUUGGUUUCUAGGAUUGACGUAAUGAUUAAUAGGGAUAGUUGGGGGCAUUAGUAUUCAAUUGUCAGAGGUGAAAUUCUUGGAUUUAUUGAAGACUAACUACUGCGAAAGCAUUUGCCAAGGAUGUUUUCAUUAAUCAAGAACGAAAGUUAGGGGAUCGAAGACGAUCAGAUACCGUCGUAGUCUUAACCAUAAACUAUGCCGACUAGGGAUCGGAUGAUGUUAAUUUUUUAAUGACUCAUUC